This 692-nucleotide ribosomal RNA is filed under the name uncultured bacterium. RNAcentral's name for it is "bacterial SSU rRNA". It matches the Rfam family "Bacterial small subunit ribosomal RNA", at positions 56 to 766 of the family's 1533-position model. The record is from RNAcentral.
UGCAAGUCGAACGGUGAAGAGAAGCUUGCUUCUCGGAUCAGUGGCGGACGGGUGAGUAACACGUGAGCAACCUGCCUUUAAGAGGGGGAUAACGUUUGGAAACGAACGCUAAUACCGCAUAACAUAGAAGAUUCGCAUGUUUCUUCUAUCAAAGAUUUAUCGCUUAAAGAUGGGCUCGCGUCUGAUUAGCUGGUUGGUGAGGUAACGGCUCACCAAGGCGACGAUCAGUAGCCGUACUGAGAGGUAGAACGGCCACAUUGGGACUGAGACACGGCCCAGACUCCUACGGGAGGCAGCAGUGGGGAAUAUUGCACAAUGGAGGGAACUCUGAUGCAGCGAUGCCGCGUGAGGGAAGAAGGUUUAGGAUUGUAAACCUCUGUCUUCAGGGACGAUAAUGACGGUACCUGAGGAGGAAGCUCCGGCUAACUACGUGCCAGCAGCCGCGGUAAUACGUAGGGAGCGAGCGUUGUCCGGAAUUACUGGGUGUAAAGGGAGCGUAGGCGGGAUCUUAAGUCAGGUGUGAAAACUAUGGGCUCAACCCAUAGACUGCACUUGAAACUGAGGUUCUUGAGUGAAGUAGAGGCAGGCGGAAUUCCUAGUGUAGCGGUGAAAUGCGUAGAUAUUAGGAGGAACAUCAGUGGCGAAGGCGGCCUGCUGGGCUUUUACUGACGCUGAGGCUCGAAAGCGUGGGG